RNAcentral lists this unclassified non-coding RNA (225 nucleotides) under rhizosphere metagenome. Its description in RNAcentral is "partial ribosomal RNA internal transcribed spacer region". The record is from RNAcentral.
GUAGGUGAACCUGCGGAAGGAUCAUUACAGAGAACUUGCCCUUCGGGGUAGAUCUCCCACCCUUUGUUAACGUUACCUAUGUUGCUUUGGCAGGCCAGACGUUUCGUCUACCGGCUUAGGCUGGACAGUGCCUGCCAGAGGCCCUUUCAAUUCUGAAUUGUCCCGUGCCGUCUGAAUGAACACGCGAAUAAUCUAAAACUUUCAACAACGGAUCUCUUGGUUCUG